Long non-coding RNA from Arachis duranensis, 493 nucleotides. RefSeq lists it as uncharacterized. Lineage: Eukaryota; Viridiplantae; Streptophyta; Magnoliopsida; Fabales; Fabaceae. The transcript has 3 exons. The record is from RefSeq and is a predicted model, not a curated record.
UUUUCUAGGUGGCUUUUCUGUUGUUGAACCUGCAAAUUCUUAGCCGUGACCAACCGGAUCUUGCAUCACACCAUUGGCUUACCGGAUUUCACCCAGGAGCUUCGCUGCUUCCAAACUGUUACUUGCUACCAGGUUGUGGUUAAUAACUUGGAAGAUGCUCAUGAGAUCCUUGACACUGCAAUCUCAACCGCACUGAAAGAAAGCAAACCUGUUUAUAUCAGCAUCAGCUGUAACUUGGCUGCAAUUCCUCACCAGUCACCCCACUUUCAAUUGAGUAAUCAAAUGGAGUUGCAGGCAGCAGUAGAGGCUGCAGCUGACUUCCAUGGCAACAUGAGUGUCUAAAAAUACAAGUACUAUGUGAGCAAAUUUUCUUACUGCCAAGUAAGUUUAACUGUUCACAAGGUUACCAACAACUAAGUUGUAUAAAUGAAGCAAUAUACACAAAUGAUUAAAAUAAAAUGAUUACUGAAAAUAGCAAUGCCAAGGAACACAU